Molecule: ribosomal RNA, 253 nt
Filed under: uncultured bacterium
Lineage: Bacteria
Description: partial 16S ribosomal RNA
Rfam family: Bacterial small subunit ribosomal RNA
Source: RNAcentral
UACGGAGGGGGCUAGCGUUGUUCGGAAAUACUGGGCGUAAAGCGAACGUAGGCGGCUUGGCAAGUCAGGGGUGAAAUCCCAGUGCUCAACACUGGAACUGCCUUUGAAACUGCCAGGCUUGAAUCCUGGAGAGGCGAGUGGAAUUCCGAGUGUAGAGGUGAAAUGCGCAGAUAUCAGGAGGAACACCUAUUGCGAAGGCAGCUCGCUGGGACGUUACUGACGCUGAGACGCGAAAGCGUGGGGAGCGAACAGG